Molecule: long non-coding RNA, 321 nt
Organism: Passer domesticus (house sparrow)
Lineage: Eukaryota; Metazoa; Chordata; Aves; Passeriformes; Passeridae
Exons: 3
Source: RefSeq, a predicted model, not a curated record
GAACACCACUAGAUGGGGAUGUUUUCUCACGUUCCUUCUCUGGCUCUGAGGGGCUGAAUUUUCUCACUCAGAUUAGCAGAUGUUGAGCUAUCCAGCUGAUACCAAGAUUGUGUCAAUUCACUUGUGGAUAAAUGAAAAGAUAAUUCUGAAUAACAACAAAACAUUUCAAAGAUAGUACUUUGGCACAAAGGAUGAACGAGAAUUUUAAAGAAAGGAUUCUUCUCAUACAGAUUUGAGGAUCACGGUCUGGCCUGAGAUUUGAGGACCAAGCCUAGAAAGAAGCCCCGUCCUCUCAUCUGCCUCCACCCAAAAACCAGCUGC